AUGCUCAUUAAAUUGGGAAGGAAUCACAUACACACACAACUUCCCAAGUAAUGAAUCAAAGGAGCAUAAGCAUUGGAGUCUAACACUCCAACGUUAGACAACGGGAAACCCCAACUCCACCAUUUACUAGCUGUGUGUCCUUGUCAUGCCGCCUCCCUGAGCCUCCAUUUCUUCAUCUAGAAAAUGGGGUUAAGAAAGUGCUAACCAUAUACAGGACUGUCAUGAGGCUUAUAUAGAAUAACCUAUUCAACCCGCCUGGCUGAAUGCCUAGCACAGAGCUGGUGCUCCAUAAAUGGCAUUUCCUGGGACUUACCACUCUUCCUUGCUGUAGCAGUGUGAGGCUUCGAGAAGCAACUUUGCUUUGUGGUAAGAAGUAUAUAUC
This is a non-coding RNA of Callorhinus ursinus (northern fur seal), 382 nucleotides long. Lineage: Eukaryota; Metazoa; Chordata; Mammalia; Carnivora; Otariidae. The record is from RefSeq and is a predicted model, not a curated record.